CCUACGGGAGGCUGCAGUGGGGAAUAUUGGACAAUGGGGGCAACCCUGAUCCAGCCAUGCCGCGUGUGUGAAGAAGGCCCUCGGGUUGUAAAGCACUUUCAGUGAGGAAGAACGCCUGGUGGUUAAUACCCAUCAGGAAAGACAUCACUCACAGAAGAAGCACCGGCUAACUCCGUGCCAGCAGCCGCGGUAAUACGGAGGGUGCGAGCGUUAAUCGGAAUUACUGGGCGUAAAGCGCGCGUAGGUGGCUUGAUAAGCCGGUUGUGAAAGCCCCGGGCUCAACCUGGGAACGGCAUCCGGAACUGUCAAGCUAGAGUGCAGGAGAGGAAGGUAGAAUUCCCUGUGUAGCGGUGAAAUGCGUAGAGAUCGGGAGGAAUACCAGUGGCGAAGGCGGCCUUCUGGACUGACACUGACACUGAGGUGCGAAAGCGUGGGUAGCAAACAGGAUUAGAUACCCCAGUAGUC
This 465-nucleotide ribosomal RNA is filed under the name Vreelandella stevensii. RNAcentral's name for it is "partial 16S ribosomal RNA". It matches the Rfam family "Bacterial small subunit ribosomal RNA", at positions 338 to 795 of the family's 1533-position model. The record is from RNAcentral. Lineage: Bacteria; Pseudomonadati; Pseudomonadota; Gammaproteobacteria; Oceanospirillales; Halomonadaceae.